Molecule: non-coding RNA, 123 nt
Organism: Triticum aestivum (bread wheat)
Lineage: Eukaryota; Viridiplantae; Streptophyta; Magnoliopsida; Poales; Poaceae
Source: Rfam
AUACUACUCCCUUCGUUCGAAAAUACUUGUCGGAGAAAUUGAUAAAUGAAUGUAUCUAGAACUAAAAUACGUCUAGAUACAUCCAUUUCUCCAACAAGUAUUUUCGGACAGAGGGAGUAUUUC